AGAGUUUGAUCCUGGCUCAGAACGAACGCUGGCGGCCAGGCUUAACACAUGCCAAGUCGAGCGCACCUUUCGGGGUGAGCGGCGGACGGGUUAGUAACGCGUGGGAACAUACCCUUUGGUACGGAAUAGCCUCUGGAAACGGAGAGUAAUACCGUAUGAGCCCUUCGGGGGAAAGAUUUAUCGCCAAAGGAUUAGCCCGCGUUAGAUUAGGUAGUUGGUGGGGUAAUGGCCUACCAAGCCUACGAUCUAUAGCUGGUUUUAGAGGAUGAUCAGCAACACUGGGACUGAGACACGGCCCAGACUCCUACGGGAGGCAGCAGUGGGGAAUCUUGGACAAUGGGCGCAAGCCUGAUCCAGCCAUGCCGCGUGAGUGAUGAAGGCCUUAGGGUCGUAAAGCUCUUUCGCCUGUGAAGAUAAUGACGGUAGCAGGUAAAGAAACCCCGGCUAACUCCGUGCCAGCAGCCGCGGUAAUACGGAGGGGGUUAGCGUUGUUCGGAAUUACUGGGCGUAAAGCGCACGUAGGCGGACUGGAAAGUAUGGGGUGAAAUCCCAGGGCUCAACCCUGGAACUGCCUCAUAAACUAUCAGUCUAGAGUUCGAGAGAGGUGAGUGGAAUUCCGAGUGUAGAGGUGAAAUUCGUAGAUAUUCGGAGGAACACCAGUGGCGAAGGCGGCUCACUGGCUCGAUACUGACGCUGAGGUGCGAAAGUGUGGGGAGCAAACAGGAUUAGAUACCCUGGUAGUCCACACCGUAAACGAUGAAUGCCAGUCGUCGGGUAGCAUGCUAUUCGGUGACACACCUAACGGAUUAAGCAUUCCGCCUGGGGAGUACGGUCGCAAGAUUAAAACUCAAAGGAAUUGACGGGGGCCC
RNAcentral lists this ribosomal RNA (869 nucleotides) under uncultured Alphaproteobacteria bacterium. RNAcentral's name for it is "bacterial SSU rRNA". It matches the Rfam family "Bacterial small subunit ribosomal RNA", at positions 8 to 922 of the family's 1533-position model. Lineage: Bacteria; Pseudomonadati; Pseudomonadota; Alphaproteobacteria. The record is from RNAcentral.